RNAcentral lists this transfer RNA (90 nucleotides) under Algimonas ampicilliniresistens. Its description in RNAcentral is "tRNA-Trp". It matches the Rfam family "tRNA". From Rfam's summary of the family: Transfer RNA (tRNA) molecules are approximately 80 nucleotides in length. Their secondary structure includes four short double-helical elements and three loops (D, anti-codon, and T loops). Further hydrogen bonds mediate the characteristic L-shaped molecular structure. tRNAs have two regions of fundamental functional importance: the anti-codon, which is responsible for specific mRNA codon recognition, and the 3' end, to which the tRNAs corresponding amino acid is attached (by aminoacyl-tRNA synthetases). tRNAs cope with the degeneracy of the genetic code in two manners: having more than one tRNA (with a specific anti-codon) for a particular amino acid; and 'wobble' base-pairing, i.e. permitting non-standard base-pairing at the 3rd anti-codon position. The record is from RNAcentral. Lineage: Bacteria; Pseudomonadati; Pseudomonadota; Alphaproteobacteria; Maricaulales; Robiginitomaculaceae.
GGUGCUGUGUCAGAGCGGUUUAAUGUGCCGGAUUCCAAAUCCGGUGGGGUGUUGUUGCCCCCGUGGGUUCGAAUCCCACCAGCACCUCCA